This is a long non-coding RNA of Alligator mississippiensis (American alligator), 728 nucleotides long. RefSeq lists it as uncharacterized. The record is from RefSeq and is a predicted model, not a curated record. The transcript is spliced from 3 exons. NCBI's taxonomy places the organism in Eukaryota, Metazoa, Chordata, Crocodylia, Alligatoridae.
AGGUCCCUCCCCCAGCCUGUAAAUGUGUUGGUGAUUCCUUCUCCCUAGGUGCAGCACUUUGCACUUGUCUUUGUUGAACUGCAUCCUAUUCUGUUCUGCCAACUUUUCCAACCUGGGAAAAGUGGGCAGAAUUUUUGCUGGGAGUGGGAGGGAGAGGGGAAAGGGUGGGGCCUGACUCUCUCGGUCACCCAAGGCUUGGCUCAGGCUCACUUUCCUUCUGGAGCUUGUGAGAAUUUGUGUGAUGGAGUUGCUGUGGCAAAGACAAAAAGCAGAACUUCCAUGGAGCAGCUUUGCCUGUUCCCUGCCUAAAGCAGAUGUUUCCCAGGAAAAGUUAUCUCAUUCAUUUUAAUACACACCUUUCCCUACCCUGCUCAGUGAUACAAAGAUGGAAAGCUUGUCUCUUGUGCACUUCAUUGGGAAUGUCUGACUUUGUGAAACAGAGUUGGAUCGCAAAGAAAACUGCUGAAUAUAUAUAAUGCUCUAAUGCAAGUUUUAGAAGUAGCUUUAUUAGAACCAUGUUCCGAGUGCCUCUUUGUAUGCUUACAGAAUAUUUUUCUGCAUAGUUGAGGCUCUGAAGGACAGUGUAGCUGACACACAAUUAUUCUUUGGUGACUUCAAUCUAUCUGUGUGGUCCACUGUCAUGCUUGGGUGUUUUAUUCAAGUUGUAUUGUUUUCUUGCCCAAGAUGACUAUUAAGCUUUGGAAUAAACUUGAAUGUUUCUGAAUAUA